RNAcentral lists this transfer RNA (85 nucleotides) under Actinokineospora globicatena. Its description in RNAcentral is "tRNA-Gly". Lineage: Bacteria; Bacillati; Actinomycetota; Actinomycetes; Pseudonocardiales; Pseudonocardiaceae. The record is from RNAcentral.
CGCGCCGCUCGCGGAGGCUCUGCGGCGGACCUUCCCGGGGUUCGCCGAGUGGUCGCUGCUCCCGUUGGACCGCGAGGCGGCGCGG